Molecule: long non-coding RNA, 967 nt
Filed under: Brassica rapa (field mustard)
Lineage: Eukaryota; Viridiplantae; Streptophyta; Magnoliopsida; Brassicales; Brassicaceae
Description: long non-coding RNA (BRAP_LNC002845)
Source: RNAcentral
AUGCUUCGAUCUGGUUAGGAACCGAUGGAGGCUCCCAUUGCUUGGAGUUGAAGAGGAGACCCAACUCAGCAGGGAUUGAAUCGAAACCACAAGCGGAAACGAUUAGAGAGCCAGUCUCUUGUGCUCUUUCGUGGUACUUAGCUUCCAUCCUCUCCAUGAACUCUGGCUCACCACUUAUAUCCAAAUAAUCACACCUACACACACAAAGUUCAACUUUUUAAGUUCACACUCACCAGAGAGAAAACAGAGGAAAAGACGAUUUUAUCCUGAGUCCCCGCAACAAAGAAGCAAACCAAACAUAACAAGAUUUACAUAUUUGUCAUCAAAGUUACAAGCUUUAACCAUUACUUUAGAUUGCAUCAAGUUUAACUUUUUUUUGUAAGUUGACAGAGUAACAAGUGAAAACAGAGAAAAAACACGAGUUUACCCAGAGUCGGCACAAGCGGCGACGACGGGAUCGCCAUGGAUACGGAACGGUCCGACACAGUUGAGGAUGAGUUUGGUCUGAGUACAGAGACGGCGAAGUGAAUCCGGGUCUGACGUAUCAGCAGUGAGGAUAUCGACGGAGGAAGGAGGCGGGUUCGGGCGGGAUGCCCACUCGAGAGACUGGGUUAACCGGGUCGGGUUGCGACCCGCUAAAGCUAGGGACUUUAACGGAGAAGAAGGAGUUUGGAGGAACUUGAGAGCUUCCCGGACGACGUAUUUUCCGGUGAAUCCGGAUGCUCCGAGUAUGACGAUAUCGUAAACCGGGUUGGGGUUUUGGGUUGGGUCCAUCGUGUGUGUGAUCGGGUACGGAUUCAGAGAAACUUUUGGGUUCAAGAGAGAUCUUUGGUGGGAGAAAGUCUUUGCUGGAUUUACUCCAUACACCCCAAGCCCUCCUUAAAUGAAUUCUCACUGUCACGAGUCCAUCUUUAUUAUUCCUAUCCUAUCCUUUUAUUUUUGCACUUCCCAAAUAAUUUUUCCCCAU